This 450-nucleotide ribosomal RNA is filed under the name uncultured bacterium. RNAcentral's name for it is "bacterial SSU rRNA". It matches the Rfam family "Bacterial small subunit ribosomal RNA", at positions 354 to 796 of the family's 1533-position model. The record is from RNAcentral.
GUGGGGAAUAUUGGACAAUGGGCGAAAGCCUGAUCCAGCCAUGCCGCGUGUGUGAAGAAGGUCUUCGGAUUGUAAAGCACUUUAAGUUGGGAGGAAGGGCGGUAAGUUAAUACCUUGCUGUUUUGACGUUACCAACAGAAUAAGCACCGGCUAACUUCGUGCCAGCAGCCGCGGUAAUACGAAGGGUGCAAGCGUUAAUCGGAAUUACUGGGCGUAAAGCGCGCGUAGGUGGUUCAGCAAGUUGGAGGUGAAAUCCCCGGGCUCAACCUGGGAACUGCCUCCAAAACUGCAUGACUAGAGUACGGUAGAGGGUAGUGGAAUUUCCUGUGUAGCGGUGAAAUGCGUAGAUAUAGGAAGGAACACCAGUGGCGAAGGCGACUACCUGGACUGAUACUGACACUGAGGUGCGAAAGCGUGGGGAGCAAACAGGAUUAGAAACCCCGGUAGUCC